GGGGCUGACAGGCUUUCGAUGGCCUGCCGGAGACCUUGUGCUACGUGCCGGGGACCGAUGGGAGCAACCGUCAUCAAACCCAUCACCGGAAUAAACGCCAACACCGUUUCUUCUCAGCGUUUCAUGCUCGCCGCAUGAAACCCGACUCCGCCAUCUGCCGGUCGAACGGCCGGAGUCGGACAACCUGCGACCGGAUUGAUCGGACAGUCGGACGAUGGAUUCGCCCGGCCAGUACAUGAACGUCGUCUACAAGCCGUGCGGGUUCGCCGAACGCACCCGUCCACGGAUGAGGAUCAAGCGUCGGAUACGCACGUGAUGGCAAGCAAUGGUUGACGGCAGGCCAGACCCGAGUUCGAUUCUCGGCGGCUCCACGG
Molecule: transfer-messenger RNA, 374 nt
Filed under: Bifidobacterium bifidum
Lineage: Bacteria; Bacillati; Actinomycetota; Actinomycetes; Bifidobacteriales; Bifidobacteriaceae
Description: Standard tmRNA
Rfam family: transfer-messenger RNA
About the family: Bacterial tmRNA, also known as 10Sa RNA or SsrA, is named for its dual tRNA and mRNA-like properties. Its role is to liberate the mRNA from a stalled ribosome.
Source: RNAcentral